Molecule: ribosomal RNA, 1565 nt
Filed under: uncultured Clostridium sp.
Lineage: Bacteria; Bacillati; Bacillota; Clostridia; Eubacteriales; Clostridiaceae
Description: bacterial LSU rRNA
Rfam family: Bacterial large subunit ribosomal RNA
Source: RNAcentral
UAUUGGUAGAGGAGCAAUCUUAACGGGAAGAAGCAGUACUGUAAGGUGCUGUGGACUGUUAAGAAGAGAGAAUGCCGGAAUGAGUAGCGAGAUGGAGGUGGGAAUCCUCCAGGCCGAAUAUCCAAGGUUUCCAGGGUAAAGCUGAUCUGCCCUGGGGAAGUCGGGGCCUAAGGCGAGGUCGAAAGACGUAGCUGAUGGACAACAGGUUGAUAUUCCUGUACUAUCAUAUGACAGAACUGUGGGGACGCAGAAAGAGAGCCUGAGCCGGGAAAGGGAAAACCGGUGCAAGCGGGGUAGGAGUCGUGCAGGCAAAUCCGCACGGCAAUCCGAAGACGUGAUGCGGAGCGAAUUAAAGUAGCGAAGCAGGUGAGCUGGCUGCCAAGAAAAGCCGCUAUUGUUCAUAUGAUACCCGUACCGUAAACCGACACAGGUGGAUGAGGAGAGAAUCCUAAGGCCGGCGGGAGAAGCAUUGUUAAGGAACUCGGCAAAAUGACCCCGUAACUUCGGGAGAAGGGGUGCCUGCGAGAGCAGGCCGCAGAGAAUAGGCUCAAGCAACUGUUUAGCAAAAACACAGGUCUAUGCGAAACCGAAAGGUGAGGUAUAUGGGCUGACGCCUGCCCGGUGCUGGAAGGUUAAGAGGAGAUGUCAGGAAACGAAGCAUUGAAUUUAAGCCCCAGUAAACGGCGGCCGUAACUAUAACGGUCCUAAGGUAGCGAAAUUCCUUGUCGGGUAAGUUCCGACCCGCACGAAAGGCGUAAUGAUUUGAGCGCUGUCUCGACAAUGCACCCGGUGAAAUUGAAGUACCAGUGAAGAUGCUGGUUACCUGCGCCAGGACGGAAAGACCCCAUGGAGCUUUACUCCAGCUUGAUACUGGGAUCCGAUGCUGUAUGUACAGGAUAGGUGGGAGGCUGAGAAGCGGUGACGCCAGUUGCCGCAGAGCCGAUGUUGGGAUACCACCCUUGCAGUAUUGGAUUUCUAACCAGCUGCCGUGACCCGGCAGUGGGACAAUGUCUGGCGGGGAGUUUGACUGGGGCGGUCGCCUCCGAAAGGGUAUCGGAGGCGCUCAAAGGUUCCCUCAGGAUGGUUGGAAACCAUCCGAAGAGUGCAAAGGCAGAAGGGAGCUUGACUGCGACACCGACGGGUGGAGCAGGUACGAAAGUAGGACUUAGUGAUCCGGUGGUAUUAAGUGGGAAUGCCAUCGCUCAACGGAUAAAAGCUACCCUGGGGAUAACAGGCUUAUCACUCCCAAGAGUUCACAUCGACGGAGUGGUUUGGCACCUCGAUGUCGGCUCAUCGCAUCCUGGGGCUGUAGCAGGUCCCAAGGGUUGGGCUGUUCGCCCAUUAAAGCGGUACGCGAGCUGGGUUCAGAACGUCGUGAGACAGUUCGGUCCCUAUCCGGCGCAGGCGGAGGAUAAUUGAGAGGAGCUGCCCUUAGUACGAGAGGACCGGGGUGGACGGACCGCUGGUGUAUCUGUUGGCUACCAAAGCCAUGGCAGAGUAGCCAAGUCCGGCAGGGAUAAACGCUGAAGGCAUCUAAGCGUGAAGCCCCCCUCAAGAUGAGUUAU